RNAcentral lists this ribosomal RNA (515 nucleotides) under uncultured bacterium. Its description in RNAcentral is "bacterial SSU rRNA". It matches the Rfam family "Bacterial small subunit ribosomal RNA", at positions 8 to 518 of the family's 1533-position model. The record is from RNAcentral.
AGAGUUUGAUUCUGGCUCAGGAUGAACGCUAGCGGCAGGCCUAAUACAUGCAAGUCGUACGGGAUAGACACUUCGGGUGUCUUGAGAGUGGCGCACGGGUGCGCAACGCGUAUGCAACCAACCCCCGACGGGCGGAUAGCCGGUGGAAACGCCGGAUAAUACGCCAUGGUUCCUGAGAGGGGCAUCCCUCUCAGGAUAAAGCAGCGAUGCGGUCGGGGACGGGCAUGCGUCCCAUUAGAUUGUAGGCGGGGUGACGGCCCACCUAGUCGACGAUGGGUAGGGAUCUGAGAGGACGGUCCCCCACACUGGUACUGAGACACGGACCAGACUCCUGCGGGAGGCAGCAGUAAGGGAUAUUGGGCAAUGGUCGGAAGACUGACCCAGCCAUGCCCGCGUGAGGGAAUGAGGCCCUACGGGUCGUGAACCUCUUUUAUUCGGGGACAAGGACGGCGUCGAGAACGUUGUUUGAGGGUACCGAAGGAAUAAGCGUCGGCUAACUCCGUGCCAGCAGCAGC